This 395-nucleotide long non-coding RNA is filed under the name Gallus gallus (chicken). The record is from RNAcentral. Lineage: Eukaryota; Metazoa; Chordata; Aves; Galliformes; Phasianidae.
GCACAGAACAGGGCGCAGUCCUUCCCGUAUCGAUUUUCUGGGCAAGUUUUACUACAGUCGGCUCCAAUGAAACCAGGCGCGCAAUCACAAGUUCCCGACACUGGGUCGCAAUGGCCUCCAUUCAUGCAUUUACAGGAUUUUUGGCAGUUUGAACCGUAAGUACCUUCUGGACACCGGCGGUCACACUGGGCCCCGUGGUACCCCAGGCGGCACACGCACCGCCCAGUGAUGGGGUGACAGUCCUCCUCAGCACGGCAGCGACAGGCUUGGCUGCAACUCUGGCCAUACGUGUUUGGUGGACAAGUUUUCUCGCAGCCAUGGCCAGUGAAUCCUGGAGGACAGCUGCACUCACCCGUCAGGUGGUGGCAGGGGGUGCCUGCAGGGCAGUGGCACCG